CGGGGAGGUAGUGACGAAAAAUAACGAUACGGGACUCAUCCGAGGCCCCGUAAUCGGAAUGAGUACACUUUAAAUCCUUUAACGAGGACCAAUUGGAGGGCAAGUCUGGUGCCAGCAGCCGCGGUAAUUCCAGCUCCAAUAGCGUAUAUUAAAGUUGUUGCGGUUAAAAAGCUCGUAGUUGAAUCUGUGUGUCACAGUGUCGGUUCACCGCUCGCGGUGUUUAACUGGCAUUAUGUGGUACGUCCUACCGGUGGGCUUAGCUCCAUGCGGGGCGGUCCAACUAAUAUCCCAUCGCGGUGCUCUUCGCUGAGUGUCGAGGUGGGCCGGUACGUUUACUUUGAACAAAUUAGAGUGCUCAAAGCAGGCUACCUUCGCCUGAAUACUAUGUGCAUGGAAUAAUGGAAUAGGACCUCGGUUCUAUUUUGUUGGUUUUCGGAACCCCGAGGUAAUGAUUAAUAGGGACAGAUGGGGGCAUUCGUAUUGCGACGUUAGAGGUGAAAUUCUUGGAUCGUCGCAAGACGGACAGAAGCGAAAGCAUUUGCCAAAAAUGUUUUCAUUAAUCAAGAACGAAAGUUAGAGGUUCGAAGGCGAUCAGAUACCGCCCUAGUUCUAACCAUAAACGAUGCCAGCUAGCGAUCCGCCGAAGUUCCUCCGAUGACUCGGCGGGCAGCUUCCGGGAAACCAAAGCUUUUGGGUUCCGGGGGAAGUAUGGUUGCAAAGCUGAAACUUAAAGGAAUUGACGGAAGGGCACCACCAGGAGUGGAGCCUGCGGCUUAAUUUGACUC
Molecule: ribosomal RNA, 785 nt
Filed under: Paranomada velutina
Lineage: Eukaryota; Metazoa; Arthropoda; Insecta; Hymenoptera; Apidae
Description: SSU rRNA
Rfam family: Eukaryotic small subunit ribosomal RNA
Source: RNAcentral